This 86-nucleotide transfer RNA is filed under the name Chlamydiota bacterium. RNAcentral's name for it is "Chlamydiae bacterium tRNA-Tyr". It matches the Rfam family "tRNA". Rfam says of the family: Transfer RNA (tRNA) molecules are approximately 80 nucleotides in length. Their secondary structure includes four short double-helical elements and three loops (D, anti-codon, and T loops). Lineage: Bacteria; Pseudomonadati; Chlamydiota. The record is from RNAcentral.
UGGGGGUGUCGCAUAGUGGCAAUUGCAAGGGACUGUAAAUCCCUCGACUUCGGUCUCCGUUGGUUCGAGUCCAACCACCCCCAUCC